Molecule: ribosomal RNA, 229 nt
Filed under: uncultured bacterium
Lineage: Bacteria
Description: partial 16S ribosomal RNA
Rfam family: Bacterial small subunit ribosomal RNA
Source: RNAcentral
CGUGUAGGCGGCUUAUUAAGUCAGAUGUGAAAGCCCACGGCUUAACCGUGGAACUGCAUUUGAAACUGGUAGGCUUGAGUAUGAGAAGGGGUAGUGGAAUUCCCAGUGUAGCGGUGAAAUGCGUAGAUAUUGGGAAGAACACCAGUAGCGAAGGCGACUACCUGGCUCAUUACUGACGCUAAUGCGCGAAAGCGCGGGGAGCAAACAGGAUUAGAUACCCUGGUAGUCC